This 400-nucleotide ribosomal RNA is filed under the name phytoplankton environmental sample. Its description in RNAcentral is "partial small subunit ribosomal RNA". It matches the Rfam family "Eukaryotic small subunit ribosomal RNA", at positions 587 to 993 of the family's 1831-position model. The record is from RNAcentral.
AGCUCCAAUAGCGUAUAUUAAAGUUGUUGCAGUUAAAAAGCUCGUAGUCGGAACUCGGGCUGGGGGUCUGUGCCCAGCACUGCUGCGUGCGCAGGGCCCCGGUCUUCCUUCUGGCUUUGCGUGGGGGUCCUUUGUUGGGCUGCUGCGUGGAGGUCAGGACGUUUACUGUGAAAAAAUUAGAGUGUUUAAAGCAGGCGAUUGCUGUGAAUACAUGAGCAUGGAAUAAUAGAAUAGGACUUGAGUUCUAUCUGUUGGUCGUAGAGCUGAAGUAAUGAUUAAUAGGGACAGUUGGGGGCAUUCGUAUUUCAUUGUCAGAGGUGAAAUUCUUGGAUUUAUGAAAGACGAACCGCUGCGAAAGCGUCUGCCAAGGAUGUUUUCAUUGAUCAAGAACGAAAGUACG